UGUUUUUAUGCUAAAGUACUCCCUAAGAGCUGUAAAGUUGGUGGAGGGGUAAACCAGCCCAGUCACCAGAACUGGCAUUUUAUGUUCCUGGAUAUUUAGAUAUUUUUCAGGAGAAAUCAAACCAAUCUCCAGUUCCAUGUUUGUGGGGACGAACCAUGGGAAGAGGUCUCACCUGCCAGCUCCCUCUGUUCAGGCGGCACUUUGCCAGCAGCUUGGAUCAUCGGCACUGACCCAAAGUAGCCGUUGGUGACUCCCAUGAGGAGAGAGAAGAGACAGGGCCAGGCGGGGUGUGACAGGGUUGGAGCGCUGGCCGGGUACACGCACAUGACGAACAGGGGGAUGAAGACCACCCUCAGACAGGAGAAGAAGAGCAGGCGGCCUCCAGACCAGUCGUACGGCAGAGCUGCCAGGAUCUGAGGAAAGAGCAGGGGGGUGCUUUAGUGAUGCUGGGGGUUACAUCCUCUUCUGCUUUCUUAUGAAUGCGUAAGGUUUUAGUUAAAUAGUUUAAAUGAAAUGUGCACUUUUCUUAGCAUAAGUCCACAUUCUGCAGUUAUUCUCCUUUGGUCUACUAGUUGCUGAUGGCACAUGUCAGAGAGCAACAAUAAGUUAAAAUGCCACAGAAACAUUUUUUUCUUUGUUAUUGUUCAGCCCUUAAGCUACCUUAAUUUUUCUUCCCUACUUUCAAUCUAAUUCGUCUUCUUAUCUUCUUCCCCUCGUUUCAACAAAAUGCUAAAUUUGCCAUGAGAACAAAAAUUCAAAGAAUAAAAUCAGAAUAACUUUCAUUCAGCUAACUUUUUUCCCUUCAAAGUCAAAAUAAUGACUUGAGGACACCAGAUAAGGGUUUCAUUUCUGAAUAUUCAGAUAAAGCCUUUGAGCUAAGUGCAAUUAUCCAAAAAUAAACCAGGCUUUUCUCCCCCCCAUCCUGCGCUCAGGUUUAAUAAAUGGAGUGACUCCUUUAACAAUCUCACAAGGUCAGCUGCUGUGUUAGAGUGUGACUUUGUCACUUUUCGGCUUCUUAAGUGCUGACAAGCUUGACGUACAAUAAAAUCCCAGGAUCUCAGUAAGUGUGAAAUGAAAUAGGGUCAUUACCAUAUUUUCUGUCAAAAACUACUUGAAUUUUGACAGAACAUAAAAGACGAGGUAGCAGCAACAAAAUGAUGGAUGUUGACAUCCCAUUAUUACAAGUGUAUCUUACACUUGAAUGCAACAGCAUGAUUUCCACGGGGGGAUGGAGUUGGUUGCACGCCCUCCUCGCUGUUCAAAAUCCUAUUUAUGUCUGCCUCACUUUUUAUAAUUUCAAUUUGAUUCAUUCUUUAGAAAGACCUCUAGACCCUGUCCUCUUAUUGUCAGACCUCCGAAAUCCAGUUAAUCCAAUCAGAAUGUUAAAAUGUUCAUCCGAGUCGCCUUCAGUAAUUACAAUGCGCUCACAGAGUUGAAAGGUACCGUAUUAAACUCACUUAAAGGUUCAUACUCUUAUUUUAGGUGUCUCUUAGAAAAUGUUUACAUGUUUUUAAUUUUUAGGGAACACAUUUGUUUUCUAAUGCUGUCCAAUGCUGCAGCACCUCUAUUCACCCUCUGACUGAACGCUCAGUUUUAGUCCCUGUGUCUUUAAGACUCCCCUCCCCCCAAAAAACCCAGUCUGCUCUGAUUGGUCAGCUCUCACAGGCUUGAGCAGGGUGCAUGCCCAUCAUGUUUGCAUUUGCAACCAGGGCCAUCUUAGUGGCACGACUGAGGGUGUUGUGACAUCACACCCUUACAGAAGUUCCGAUGGCUCGUUUGAAGGCACAGUUUCUGAGUUUCAAGGUAUCAUAAGUAGCUUUCAGUUUUUCUGUGAACUGAAUGUUCCUUAUGAUACUUUCCUCCUAUCUAUAUAGCAUCGAGACCUGCUACGUAAUAAAAAAAAAAAAAAAAAAAUGGAUAUCUCACUUUCAACAACAAGGGUCCUUUAAGUUUUGCAAGCAGCAGUGAGUGAUUUACAGACUUCUCUCACGGAGCAGACUAGCUUCCACUACCUUCUUGGUGGAGUUUGGGGGGGUUGUAUGCAUUUUUUGGGGAAGGGAUGAAAAGGACUACCCAAACUGGACUGAAUUUUGAGGUAAGAAAAAAUCAGUUAGCUGUUUUUAAUUACAGAUAACUCACACUAAAAUUACUCUACAACUGAUUAUCAAUCACGCUGUAUGCUUAUGGAUAUUUUUGGUACACCAACAUUUUUAGUGAACCAGGAUGACAAAUGUAAUCAUUAUCUAUUAUUUGGCAGAUAUGUAUGUAUAUAAAUGAAGAAAAUAACAAUGAUUUAACUUCUGUUAUUGAGGAACCUCCGGCUUCAUUGUGCAAUUCUUAAAUUUGUUUUUCUUUCGCCACAUGAGGGCAGCGGAAACAAGCAGUGAACACAACGCUGACAUUUUCCAACCCUGUUAAUGGAUGUGGUGACUCUGUUUGCACAGAGAUGCCUUUUCACACAUCCAGCGGUCCAGUUGUCUGGGUACCUGAUCAAUUAAAGUCUAAUAUCAACCCUC
Long non-coding RNA from Acanthopagrus latus (yellowfin seabream), 2516 nucleotides. RefSeq lists it as uncharacterized. The record is from RefSeq and is a predicted model, not a curated record. The transcript has 2 exons. NCBI's taxonomy places the organism in Eukaryota, Metazoa, Chordata, Actinopteri, Spariformes, Sparidae.